This 242-nucleotide ribosomal RNA is filed under the name uncultured bacterium. Its description in RNAcentral is "partial 16S ribosomal RNA". It matches the Rfam family "Bacterial small subunit ribosomal RNA", at positions 337 to 590 of the family's 1533-position model. The record is from RNAcentral.
GCCUACGGGAGGCAGCAGUCGAGAAUCAUUCACAAUGGGGGAAACCCUGAUGGUGCGACGCCGCGUGGGGGAAUGAAGGUCUUCGGAUUGUAAACCCCUGUCAUGUGGGAGCAAAUUAAAAAGAUAGUACCACAAGAGGAAGAGACGGCUAACUCUGUGCCAGCAGCCGCGGUAAUACAGAGGUCUCAAGCGUUGUUCGGAAUCACUGGGCGUAAAGCGAGUGCAGGCGGUUCAAUAAGUCU